GCGGCCGUGGUCUAGACUGGUUAGGAUGGAGGCCCUCCAAGCCUCUGGUCGCGGGUUCAAAUCCCGCCGGCCGCA
Molecule: transfer RNA, 75 nt
Filed under: Candidatus Bathyarchaeota archaeon
Lineage: Archaea; Thermoproteati; Candidatus Bathyarchaeota
Description: tRNA-Gly
Rfam family: tRNA
About the family: Transfer RNA (tRNA) molecules are approximately 80 nucleotides in length. Their secondary structure includes four short double-helical elements and three loops (D, anti-codon, and T loops).
Source: RNAcentral